This 492-nucleotide ribosomal RNA is filed under the name uncultured bacterium. RNAcentral's name for it is "partial 16S ribosomal RNA". It matches the Rfam family "Bacterial small subunit ribosomal RNA", at positions 29 to 507 of the family's 1533-position model. The record is from RNAcentral.
AGUGAACGCUGGCGGUAGGCCUAACACAUGCAAGUCGAACGGCAGCACAGUAAGAGCUUGCUCUUACGGGUGGCGAGUGGCGGACGGGUGAGGAAUACAUCGGAAUCUACUUUUUCGUGGGGGAUAACGUAGGGAAACUUACGCUAAUACCGCAUACGACCUACGGGUGAAAGCAGGGGAUCUUUGGACCUUGCGCGAUUGAAUGAGCCGAUGUCGGAUUAGCUAGUUGGCGGGGUAAAGGCCCACCAAGGCGACGAUCCGUAGCUGGUCUGAGAGGAUGAUCAGCCACACUGGAACUGAGACACGGUCCAGACUCCUACGGGAGGCAGCAGUGGGGAAUAUUCGACAAUGGGCGCAAGCCUGCUCCAGCCAUACCGCGUGGGUGAAGAAGGCCUUCGGGUUGUAAAGCCCUUUUGUUGGGAAAGAAAAGCAGCAGGUUAAUACCCCGCUGUUCUGACGGUACCCAAAGAAUAAGCACCGGCUAACUUCGUG